Molecule: long non-coding RNA, 943 nt
Organism: Gallus gallus (chicken)
Lineage: Eukaryota; Metazoa; Chordata; Aves; Galliformes; Phasianidae
Source: Ensembl
CUGUUGUUCUCUGUCCGCCAUGCACUUCUUCGAUCUUCCCACAAAUGUGGCCACUACUGCUUAGCAACCAGGGGAACAUGACAGCAGACAGCAAAAUCCUCUCCCCAUAGCUCACCCUGUUCCAUCUCCACAUCAUAAAGUAUCUUUCAUAGCCAAUUAAGAGGAAUGCAUGUUGUGUGGCCACAGAGAGACUGAGUGGGACCUCAGGGGUGGCAUGGGCUGAGCUGGGGUCUCUGCUAGGUGCAUGCAUGGAGAGCAAAUUCAACAAACUGAUGACUGAAAGACCCCGAUAUAUGUGGGUAUAACAGCUCCCCAAAGGCUUAUGGCAACUAAUAUUUGAAAAGAACAGGGAAAAGGAGGAGAAAAAAGGGAGAGAAGUGAAGGAAGAGAAAGAAAGAAGAAAAGAAAGAGCUGAAUAUCAAGGCGAUGGGGAACAGAAGAGCUUUAUGCCGCGGCAUAAAGCCCUCAGCACUCCAGCCGCCCAAACCGCCAAGACCGGAGGGGAGGGCCAAGAGCUCGCGAGCAGCACCAAGAGAGCAAAGUCCAGACGAAACCCCGCUAAGCAGCCGGGAAAGCAGCUACUCACUCACUUCUCCCAUGCCACAGCAGUCCUUGUUAAUGCCAGUCAUGAAAUACUGCUGUCUAAGGAGCUGCUUCACUGGUGCCUCUGCAGUAAGCCAAGAUCAGCAUCAUUCCCAAUGCUUACAAACAGGUGAGAAGCACAGUCGAAAACUGAGCAGACAGAAGAAAGCAGUCAAGUUCAGUCCUUGAUGCAGAGGAAAAGAGAUUCAUUUCUACAUGGCACUCAAUAGCAUCAUCUCCUUCUGACCAUGCUCUUGCACAUCCAGCAGCAAUAAAGGACAGACACUGGCUUCUUGCAGAACAGACUGCAUUUGUAGGAUUGAAAAAAAGAAGUAAAAUGGAAGACCAGAGCUGUUGCAGG